This 467-nucleotide ribosomal RNA is filed under the name Selenomonas sp. oral taxon 140. Its description in RNAcentral is "bacterial SSU rRNA". It matches the Rfam family "Bacterial small subunit ribosomal RNA", at positions 28 to 472 of the family's 1533-position model. The record is from RNAcentral. Lineage: Bacteria; Bacillati; Bacillota; Negativicutes; Selenomonadales; Selenomonadaceae.
GACGAACGCUGGCGGCGUGCUUAACACAUGCAAGUCGAACGGAGCGAAUGAAAGCUUGCUUUUAUAAGCUUAGUGGCAAACGGGUGAGUAACACGUAGGCAACCUGCCGACAGGAUGGGGACAACAUUCCGAAAGGAAUGCUAAUACCGAAUGAAGUCAGAGGAGGGCAUCCUCUUCUGAUGAAAGAUGGCCUCUAUAUAUAAGCUAUCACCUGUCGAUGGGCCUGCGUCUGAUUAGCUGGUAGGUGAGGUAACGGCUCACCUAGGCGACGAUCAGUAGCCGGUCUGAGAGGAUGAACGGCCACAUUGGGACUGAGACACGGCCCAGACCCCUACGGGAGGCAGCAGUGGGGAAUCUUCCGCAAUGGGCGCAAGCCUGACGGAGCAACGCCGCGUGAGUGAAGAGGGUCUUCGGAUCGUAAAGCUCUGUUGAUGGGGACGAACGUGCCUAAUGCGAAUAGUUUUAGG